RNAcentral lists this transfer RNA (77 nucleotides) under Burkholderiales bacterium. RNAcentral's name for it is "tRNA-Arg". It matches the Rfam family "tRNA". Rfam says of the family: Transfer RNA (tRNA) molecules are approximately 80 nucleotides in length. RNAcentral also lists the same sequence under 1 other name. Lineage: Bacteria; Pseudomonadati; Pseudomonadota; Betaproteobacteria; Burkholderiales. The record is from RNAcentral.
GCGCCCGUAGCUCAGAUGGAUAGAGUGCUACCCUCCGAAGGUAGAAGUCGCACGUUCGAAUCGUGUCGGGCGCACCA